This is a long non-coding RNA of Felis catus (domestic cat), 1829 nucleotides long. RefSeq lists it as uncharacterized. The record is from RefSeq and is a predicted model, not a curated record. The transcript has 3 exons. Lineage: Eukaryota; Metazoa; Chordata; Mammalia; Carnivora; Felidae.
AUGAACCUCUGGAACAGGUGGGAAGGGGCCGUAGGGAGGGCCGAGCGACUCAGGCACGAGUUUCUGCAGGGGUUUUGAAGGCCUGGCUUAGCUUCAGGGGGCCAAGUGUUAGCUCUUCCAGGGGAUGGGCCAGUUUGGAGGGGCAGGGGGCAGACAGACUUGGGGGAUUUGUUUGGUUUUGUUUGGGGGAUGGGGGUGGCAGUGGCAGGGUUACUGGGAAGGUUGUUGAGUCCUUCCAGAGAUGUGGCAGUGGAGCUAAGAAUACCCAAACCACACACCAGCAAUCCUAAGCAGGCACUUCAUGGGCGUGGUGGGGUAUUCUGUCGCUCCCCCACCCCCUCUGAGCAAGUUCAAAUGGGUUCCAAGAACUUUUUGACUCAGUUACCUCUUUGACUGGACUGAGUGACUUCCAGGCCCUUGGGCCACCCCCCUUACCCUGUGCCCAGCUCACAUUUGUCACCUAGUUCUUUGUUGUCCAGAACUUUGCAGACGCUGGACAUCGAAUAAAUGGGAUUCUCAAAAUUCUUGACUACGCAAAUGUUUUUGAUUGAUUCCACAACUGGGCCCUAAACCGCUCAGCUCUGUGAUGGUUUUUUUCGUCCCUCUGGUUACAGCCAAUAAAUCAAUCUCCAUUUCCUCAAGGUCACCGUGGACAAUAUUAUAACACAGUCUUGUUGGACUGAGGUGGGGGCUGGGGCACCUAUACAUCUGGGCGCCCUGUUUUCUGAACUUUACUUAAAGUGAAUCUGAGGCAAGAGCUUCGCUGUUUUGAGGUGUGUACCAGGUUUCCCAAGAACGUUUCUGAGGUCUUAUAAUUGGCACUUUUUAAUGGUCUCAUAAUUGAAACCCAGGAGGUUCCCGUGGUAAUCUUGAAGCACCUUGGGGUCAGUGGGACAGAAGCAGGGUGGAAACAGCAGUGGAGUUAUGAUUUUCCUGCCAGAUGAGUUUUACAGUGAGUUUAUGCAAGAGGUAGAAAUGAAAGGGAGUUGCCUCACUGUGCCACUUUGCUGACACUGCCCCCCCCCCCUUUAUUACUCAGUUUGGCCCUUUCAGGAGACUGGAGGCUGUCUAUUCCUAUGAAAUCUGAGGGUUGAGAACUCAGACAGUGUCCCUUUCAUCCUCUUUCAAGAGAUCUGAGAAUGCAAGAGACAUUUCCUCAGGAGAAAUUGCCCAAGACACAGGCAUUGGCUUUACUCUGGAGAGGUUGCUAGAGGCGGUGGUGAUUGCUCCUUGGCCAUAGGGGUGGGUGGGAGACAGAGGACCCUGCUUAGCUGUUGAUUGGUUUGCCAGCUUGUGAUAAGAUGGUGAUUUAUGUUCCUUUCCAUCCUCCAAAUGGAUUUGGAGAUUUUCCUUUCUUUGAAGUGCUCUUUCAAGUGUUUGGGCUCCUACCUCUCUUCGGCAACUUAUCUGUGGUUUCCAUUCCCUAAGAAGGAGUAGGGGACUUUACUCAUUAAAUAAUUCAGUGGGCUUCCUCAGGGACCCCCAGGGUUUAAGCAAGAAGACAAGAAGCGAGCCUGGUGGUCACAGUAUUCCACGAGACCCUAUGGGGUCUGGGUUCAGAUUUCAGCAAAGUCCCUGAUAGGGUUAAUGAAUAAGGGGUUUUCUGUCUGUCUUUCAAACAAGUAGGAAGAAGCUGAAGAAGAGCCAAAUGCACCAGUUAAUUGAUGUCCAGUACUUUCUGGCCUCUGAUCCCAGCACGAACUUCCUGGAACCCAUGACCCAUGACGUCUUGUCAACACUCACACCAUCUGAGGGUAGCAGCCAUGAAGUAGAAGAAGCAGAGAGAGACAGAGCAUGAACGGGGGAGGGGCAGAGAGAGAGGGAGACAC